CACUACUCUUCCAUCCCUAUCCACCAUUAGACACUGUGAUAAUAAGUAUAGAGGGAGGAGUUGGAGGGAGAUUCCUGUUUGAUAUGCAUCCCAGUCAGACAUCAUGGUGGUGAGGAGGUCUUGGUUCUUCACAAUCUUCAUCAUCUCAGCUCUUCUCUCACUCUCCAUGUCCCAAGGGUAUGGAAGAAGAACCAUUCUUGUGAGGUCUUCAGAAGCUGUGAGGUCUCCAUCUGAACAUGAGGAAGGGAUAUGGGAAGUCAGGGAGAUGGUGGAGACAACCAUGGACUACAAGGAACCUGGAGCUAACACCAACCCUAGAAGUGGCUUGUCACCCCCACCCCCAACUUAAAGACCUUCUUAGCCUACCUCUAAAGCAUUACUGUUUGUUGAGAAGUAUGUCACUGUGAAUUGUGUGCCCUUUGGUUCCCUAUAGCUUGCAGUGUUUAUGUAGCAGAAAAGUGUCGUUAUUGUUGAGGAGACUUGGUGAUGUAAAUUUAUUUAUGUUGAAUCAAAACAUUUAAAGUAUAUUAGCAUACA
Molecule: non-coding RNA, 537 nt
Organism: Musa acuminata subsp. malaccensis (wild Malaysian banana)
Lineage: Eukaryota; Viridiplantae; Streptophyta; Magnoliopsida; Zingiberales; Musaceae
Source: RefSeq, a predicted model, not a curated record